GAGAGAGAGAGAGAGAGAGAGAGAAGGAUAAAAAAAGAAAAGAAACUUGGAUGAAGCUUCAAUACUUUUACCUGUCCAACAUGUCUAUAUGGUACAAUAAUAUAGAGAGCUGUUGGACUGUGAGA
Molecule: long non-coding RNA, 125 nt
Organism: Haliotis rubra (blacklip abalone)
Lineage: Eukaryota; Metazoa; Mollusca; Gastropoda; Lepetellida; Haliotidae
Exons: 3
Source: RefSeq, a predicted model, not a curated record